Molecule: long non-coding RNA, 2118 nt
Organism: Manis javanica (Malayan pangolin)
Lineage: Eukaryota; Metazoa; Chordata; Mammalia; Pholidota; Manidae
Source: RefSeq, a predicted model, not a curated record
UCGGACACGCCCUGAAGGACAACCUCCUCCACCGAACCCUACCCCAGCGGGAGGAAUAAUGAAUUCCAGCGCUCCCCCUCAGGACAGAUUAACACCUGGCCAGACAUUAUUCUGACAGGAGCCUGUGUCAACAAAAAGGAUUCUGCCACAGCUUUCACACCAUGAUCCCCAAAACAAGAUCAGGAGGUGACCUUUCUCCCUUGCCUACAGAAGAUUACAACACUAAAAACAGCCCAGCCUGUUCAGCAAAAACUGCACUUGGAACACACCAUAUCCUCUGGCAGAGCAUCUGAACGCUUGUUAAGAGAGACUGAAGAGGGGGAGGGAGAAGUGCACAUCAGCUGAGCAUUUCAGGAAGCAGAAAUCAUGCCUGUUGUCUGCAUCUGACCUCUUCUCUGCUCCUGAGAGACACAGGGCCUAGCAGGAAAAAAGCCAAGGACCACUGCCAAGAACAGACUCAAAUAGCACCACUCCAAGCUAUGCUGUGUCCACAGACCAUGAGGGAAGCAGGCCAAAGGUCUCAAGGGAUGCCAAGCUGUCCUGUAGAAAGAUUGAAGGAUGAGAACAGUCUCCACAAGUGUUGGCUUCAGGGCUCCUUGCCCCUCUAAAGUGUCCGCUCCUGGAUAAUGUCCCCCCUUGUCAUGAUCAAGCUAUCCUAGAAACAGACACAUGAACAAUGGCCUACUAUGCACUGAAGUAUGAAACACAAUGCUCAAUUUUUGAACCAAUUAUACCUUCAUAGAAGUGAUUUUUUAUACUUACUAUUCCUUGAGGUUGUAUGAGUUUAUUUUUCCUUGUAUCUUUCCAAAAAGCUCUCAGAAAGGUCAAACUAUUUAAGACUGGGUUAAAGGGAAAAAAGAAAAAUCCUUUUUUGAAAAGAAGAGCUGCACAUAUUUACAACAUGGGCUCUGUCUAAACCCACAAUAGAUUAAGGAACAUUCUAUUUAUUCAUUUUUCUACUAUAGAAACAUAUCCAAUUGGAAUAAGCUAGCCAAAUAAAUUGACUCUCUCUGACAUUAAGGGCCACAGAAAACAUAUCAGAAGCUGUCUAUAUUUUCAUUGCUAUAAAAGAAAAAAUGACAGAUGCCCAUACAGAAGGAACAGGUAUAUAUUCAAAGAAAAUCACCUGAAUAUACUGAGAUUACAACUAAGAACAGGAUCAGUGUGGAAGAGAUUUUUCUAAAAGAUUCCUUAGAUACACUAAGAUUUAUUUUGAAAUACAAAAUUUCUAAGCUACGACCCAAUCUUACCUUUUGUUUAUAUCUAAAAUGUCUGUUUAAAAAACAUUCAAUGCCAAGAGACGAAGGCGGCAUGUUUCCUUUUGAUUUCAUAACUUGAUGGGAGGGUACAUAUUUCACAUAAGCCAUGUUCCAGAUUUCUGAUUACAUGUUCCAGCAAAUCACACCAACAGGAUCAAAUUCUUUCCAGUCAUAUUAGAGCACUUUUUAGAAACACUGGGAAGCAAGCACAAAAUUUAAAAGAUUCUACAAAAACAAUGCAGCAUCUGACAUACAAAAAGAGAUACUAAUAGUACUUACUGAGGACUCAGCACAUGCACAGAGAGCCCUAACCAUGUUUCUUGAUGAAUGCAGAAAGAACUACACACACACAAAACAAUCUCUUUCUGAAAUGACGAGGCACUCUGAUUAAGGAGACUAAUGAUACAUGUAAGAAAUGACUUUUGGCCUCCUAUUACAAAACAACAAAUCCCAAAAGUGCAAAUCAAUACACCACACACAGAAAUUGAUGAGUAUCUAGAAGGCAAUAACAGAGGGAUUAGAGGUAGAUGAGCAAGACUUGUUGUGAAAAAGGAACUUUGAAAAAAACACAAAAGCUGAUUUGGUCAAGGAAAGUAAUAAGACAUUCCAGAUAGAUGGAAAACACACAGGCAAAAGAUAAGAAAACUGCAGUUGUGCUCUUUCCAUCAAUGUAAAUUUCAUGGAUUAACUAUGCUCAUGUUCACCUCACCUCUGUAUCAAAUGUCUUUGAAAAAUGACUAAUUUUUAAGUUUGGCAUUUAUAAAAACUUAUUAUUAAACUUUUUAAACAUUAUAAAAACUUAUAUAUUAAAAAAUAUGUGCAUUACAUAUUUCUAUAUAACUCUACUCAUAUACCUACU